GGCAAGAUGUUGCAGUGGUAAGCACUGCUGCCUCACAAUAAGGAGGUUCUGGGUUCGAGCCCUGCCCUGCCU
Non-coding RNA from Gymnothorax javanicus (giant moray), 72 nucleotides. The record is from the annotation of a GenBank genome assembly. Lineage: Eukaryota; Metazoa; Chordata; Actinopteri; Anguilliformes; Muraenidae.